AUUGAACGCUGGCGGAAUGCUUUACACAUGCAAGUCGAACGGCAGCACGGGGGCAACCCUGGUGGCGAGUGGCGAACGGGUGAGUAAUACAUCGGAACGUGCCCGGUCGUGGGGGAUAACGUAGCGGAAGUUACGCUAAUACCGCAUACGAUCUGAGGAUGAAAGCGGGGGACCUUCGGGCCUCGCGCGAUCGGAGCGGCCGAUGUCAGAUUAGGUAGUUGGUGGGGUAAAGGCCUACCAAGCCGACGAUCUGUAGCUGGUCUGAGAGGACGACCAGCCACACUGGGACUGAGACACGGCCCAGACUCCUACGGGAGGCAGCAGUGGGGAAUUUUGGACAAUGGGCGCAAGCCUGAUCCAGCCAUUCCGCGUGCAGGACGAAGGCCUUCGGGUUGUAAACUGCUUUUGUAUGGAACGAAAAGGCUCUGGCUAAUACCUGGGGCUCAUGACGGUACCGUAAGAAUAAGCACCGGCUAACUACGUG
RNAcentral lists this ribosomal RNA (484 nucleotides) under uncultured bacterium. RNAcentral describes it as "partial 16S ribosomal RNA". It matches the Rfam family "Bacterial small subunit ribosomal RNA", at positions 30 to 507 of the family's 1533-position model. The record is from RNAcentral.